AAAUGAAGGUCCCAGCAGAGGGGUAUGAAAGUCAAAAUAAGAUAACUCUCUAACACUAAAAUACCUUUGUAGAUUGAUAUGUAUUGGCCGAUGAUUCGUAGGACGCCCAAAUGCUUCUUUGAUUUUUGCAGCAUCUGGAACCCUCGGCUACAUCCUA
RNAcentral lists this small nucleolar RNA (157 nucleotides) under Nelumbo nucifera (sacred lotus). Its description in RNAcentral is "Small nucleolar RNA snoR145". It matches the Rfam family "Small nucleolar RNA snoR145". The record is from Rfam by way of RNAcentral. Lineage: Eukaryota; Viridiplantae; Streptophyta; Magnoliopsida; Proteales; Nelumbonaceae.